This 252-nucleotide unclassified non-coding RNA is filed under the name uncultured Pasteuriaceae bacterium. RNAcentral describes it as "contains 16S-23S intergenic spacer region". It matches the Rfam family "Bacterial small subunit ribosomal RNA", at positions 524 to 776 of the family's 1533-position model. The record is from RNAcentral. Lineage: Bacteria; Bacillati; Bacillota; Bacilli; Caryophanales; Pasteuriaceae.
UACGUAGGGGGCAAGCGUUGUCCGGAAUUAUUGGGCGUAAAGAGCAUGUAGGCGGUAGGUUAAGUUGGAUGUAAAAGGCAAUGGCUCAACCAUUGUAAGCAUCCAAAACUGGUCUACUUGAGUGCAGGAGAGGAGAGUGGAAUUCCCGGUGUAGCGGUGGAAUGCGUAGAGAUCGGGAGGAACACCAGUGGCGAAGGCGACUCUCUGGCCUGCAACUGACGCUGAGAUGCGAAAGCGUGGGGAGCAAACAGG